Molecule: ribosomal RNA, 567 nt
Filed under: uncultured bacterium
Lineage: Bacteria
Description: partial 16S ribosomal RNA
Rfam family: Bacterial small subunit ribosomal RNA
Source: RNAcentral
UGGGGAAUUUUGGACAAUGGGCGAAAGCCUGAUCCAGCAAUGCCGCGUGUGUGAAGAAGGCCUUCGGGUUGUAAAGCACUUUUGUCCGGAAAGAAAUCCUUGGCUCUAAUACAGUCGGGGGAUGACGGUACCGGAAGAAUAAGCACCGGCUAACUACGUGCCAGCAGCCGCGGUAAUACGUAGGGUGCAAGCGUUAAUCGGAAUUACUGGGCGUAAAGCGUGCGCAGGCGGUUUGCUAAGACCGAUGUGAAAUCCCCGGGCUCAACCUGGGAACUGCAUUGGUGACUGGCAGGCUAGAGUAUGGCAGAGGGGGGUAGAAUUCCACGUGUAGCAGUGAAAUGCGUAGAGAUGUGGAGGAAUACCGAUGGCGAAGGCAGCCCCCUGGGCCAAUACUGACGCUCAUGCACGAAAGCGUGGGGAGCAAACAGGAUUAGAUACCCUGGUAGUCCACGCCCUAAAACGAUGUCAACUAGUUGUUGGGGAUUCAUUUCCUUAGUAACGUAGCUAACGCGUGAAGUUGACCGCCUGGGGAGUGCGGUCGCAAGAUUAAAACUUAAAUGAAUUGAC